RNAcentral lists this ribosomal RNA (465 nucleotides) under uncultured bacterium. RNAcentral describes it as "partial 16S ribosomal RNA". It matches the Rfam family "Bacterial small subunit ribosomal RNA", at positions 28 to 507 of the family's 1533-position model. The record is from RNAcentral.
GACGAACGCUGGCGGCGUGCUUAACACAUGCAAGUCGAACGGAAAGGCCCCUUCGGGGGUACUCGAGUGGCGAACAGGUGAGUAACACGUGAGUAACCUGCCCUUGACUUCGGGAUAACUUCAGGAAACUGGGGCUAAUACCGGAUAGGAAUCCUUGCUGCAUGGUGGGGGUUGGAAAGCUUCGGCGGUUUUGGAUGGACUCGCGGCUUAUCAGCUUGUUGGUGGGGUAGUGGCUUACCAAGGCUUUGACGGGUAGCCGGCCUGAGAGGGCGACCGGCCACAUUGGGGCUGAGAUACGGCCCAGACUCCUACGGGAGGCAGCAGUGGGGAAUAUUGCACAAUGGGCGGAAGCCUGAUGCAGCAACGCCGCGUGCGGGAUGACGGCCUUCGGGUUGUAAACCGCUUUCAGCAGGGGCGAAGCUUGUGGUGACGGUACCUGCAGAAGAAGCACCGGCUAACUACGUG